UGGGGAAUAUUGCACAAUGGGCGCAAGCCUGAUGCAGCCAUGCCGCGUGUGUGAAGAAGGCCUUCGGGUUGUAAAGCACUUUCAGCGAGGAGGAAGGUGGUGAACUUAAUACGUUCAUCAAUUGACGUUACUCGCAGAAGAAGCACCGGCUAACUCCGUGCCAGCAGCCGCGGUAAUACGGAGGGUGCAAGCGUUAAUCGGAAUUACUGGGCGUAAAGCGCACGCAGGCGGUUUGUUAAGUCAGAUGUGAAAUCCCCGGGCUCAACCUGGGAACUGCAUUUGAAACUGGCAAGCUAGAGUCUCGUAGAGGGGGGUAGAAUUCCAGGUGUAGCGGUGAAAUGCGUAGAGAUCUGGAGGAAUACCGGUGGCGAAGGCGGCCCCCCUGGACGAAGACUGACGCUCAGGUGCGAAAGCGUGGGGAGCAAACAGGAUUAGNUACCCUGUAGUCCACGCUGUAAAACGAUGUCGAUUUUGGAGGUUGUGCCCCUUGAGGCGUGGGCUUCCGGAGCUAACGNGUUAAAUCGACCGCC
Molecule: ribosomal RNA, 530 nt
Filed under: uncultured bacterium
Lineage: Bacteria
Description: partial 16S ribosomal RNA
Rfam family: Bacterial small subunit ribosomal RNA
Source: RNAcentral